CCAGCGGCAGUGCUGCAUAGCUAUGUACGGACGGGAUAACCGCUGAAAGCAUCUAAGCGGGAAACCCACCUCAAAACGAGCAUUCCCUUGAGAACCGUGGAAGACGACCACGUUGAUAGGCCGGGUGUGGAAGUGCAGUAAUGCAUGCAGCUUACCGGUACUAAUCGUUCGAUCGGCUUGAUUGC
Molecule: ribosomal RNA, 185 nt
Filed under: Bradyrhizobium sp.
Lineage: Bacteria; Pseudomonadati; Pseudomonadota; Alphaproteobacteria; Hyphomicrobiales; Nitrobacteraceae
Description: partial 23S ribosomal RNA
Rfam family: Bacterial large subunit ribosomal RNA
Source: RNAcentral